GGGGUUGUAGCUCAGUGGUAGAGUGCUCGCCUAGCAUGUGUGAGGCCCUGGGUUCGAUCCUCAGCACCACA
Molecule: transfer RNA, 71 nt
Filed under: Marmota monax (woodchuck)
Lineage: Eukaryota; Metazoa; Chordata; Mammalia; Rodentia; Sciuridae
Description: tRNA.Ala
Rfam family: tRNA
About the family: Transfer RNA (tRNA) molecules are approximately 80 nucleotides in length. Their secondary structure includes four short double-helical elements and three loops (D, anti-codon, and T loops).
Source: RNAcentral